CUACGGGCUGCUCCAGUGAGGAAUAUUGCACAAUGGGGGGAACCCUGAUGCAGCAACGCCGCGUGGAGGAUGACGCAUUUCGGUGUGUAAACUCCUUUUAUAUGUCAAGAAAAUGACGGUAGCAUAUGAAUAAGCACCGGCUAACUCCGUGCCAGCAGCCGCGGUAAUACGGGGGGUGCAAGCGUUACUCGGAAUCACUGGGCGUAAAGGACGCGUAGGCGGGUUGGAAAGUCAGGUGUGAAAUCCUACAGCUUAACUGUAGAACUGCACUUGAAACUUCUAAUCUAGAGUAUGGGAGGGGGAGAUGGAAUUAGUGGUGUAGGGGUAAUAUCCGUAGAUAUCACUAGGAAUACCUAAAGCGAAGGCGAUCUCCUGGAACAUUACUGACGCUAAGGCGUGAAAGCGUGGGGAGCAAACAGGAUUAGAUACCCCGGUAGUC
This 439-nucleotide ribosomal RNA is filed under the name uncultured bacterium. Its description in RNAcentral is "partial 16S ribosomal RNA". It matches the Rfam family "Bacterial small subunit ribosomal RNA", at positions 339 to 795 of the family's 1533-position model. The record is from RNAcentral.